ACACUGUUCAUGGGUUACCGCGGCUGCUGGCACGGAGUUAGCCGGUGCUUCUUCUGUGAGUGAUGUCCUUCCUGCCGGCUAUUAACCCGCAGGCCUUCUUCCUCACUGAAAGUGCUUUACAACCCGAAGGCCUUCUUCACACACGCGGCAUGGCUGGAUCAGGGUUGCCCCCAUUGUCCAAUAUUCCCCACUGCUGCCUCCCGUAGGAGUCUGGGCCGUGUCUCAGUCCCAGUGUGGCUGAUCAUCCUCUCAGACCAGCUACGGAUCGUCGCCUUGGUGAGCCGUUACCUCACCAACCAGCUAAUCCGACAUAGGCUCAUCCGAUAGCGCGAGGCCCGAAGGUCCCCCGCUUUCCCCCGUAGGGCGUAUGCGGUAUUAGCCUGGGUUUCCCCAGGUUAUCCCCGACUACCGGGCAGAUUCCUAUGCAUUACUCACCCGUCCGCCGCUCGCCACCAGGGAGCAAGCUCCCCGUGCUGCCGCUCGACUUGCAUGUGUUAGGCCUGCCGCCAGCGUUCAAU
This 518-nucleotide ribosomal RNA is filed under the name uncultured bacterium. RNAcentral's name for it is "partial 16S ribosomal RNA". The record is from RNAcentral.